RNAcentral lists this long non-coding RNA (614 nucleotides) under Musa acuminata (dwarf banana). RNAcentral's name for it is "long non-coding RNA (MACU_LNC004616)". The record is from RNAcentral. Lineage: Eukaryota; Viridiplantae; Streptophyta; Magnoliopsida; Zingiberales; Musaceae.
UCGGCCUCCCAACUCUCGAACCAGGAGAGAGAGAGAGAGAGAGAGAGAGCGAGAGAGAGAGAGAGAGAGAGAGAGGAAAAAGCUCACCUCGGGGGGUUCAUUCGGAUGACCAGCUUCUCGUAUUCGUCAUCAACCUCACUAGAAAUUGACCCACAGCUCAUCAUCGUCGAAGACAGGGAUACGAUUAGUACCACUCUUGUUUGAUCCAGAGGAUGAGGUGAGAAUGAACAGAGAGCGGUAAGAGAGAAUGCUCAAGUGAAAAGAUUCCUCCUUCACUCUUUAAGUGUACUCCAGCCCUCCUCCCUACGCCUCCUCUGUGCGAUGUCUCCCACCUCAUAUUUGCUUAUGGGGGUAGCACAUGUUCCUUUUUCUCCACAUUCCUCUCUUUGUGGUGGGGCUUGCGGCUCUCCGGUCAGAGAGAGAGAGAGAGAGAGGGAGAGAGAGAGGCGGCAAGGUUUGGCUUUUUGACCGCAGAAACUUACCGCACCAUGGGCGGCAAGGUUUGGCUUUAUGACCUUCUUUGUUACGAGAUGGUAUAAAUAAUGGUGAUAGGGGCAUGGUGCUACCUGUCCAUCGUGCAUUGCUGCUGCCACUGGAGUGGUCCUCUCUCACCA